AUGGACUUCGGCGCCGACAUGGACGACUUCUCGCUCCAGUACAUCCACGAGCAGCUGCGGCUCCAGCUGCUCGGCGCCGACCCCUGCGGCCUCCUGCCCCUCCCCGCGGCGGACGACUUCGCCGCGCACCCGGACUUCAUGCCCGCGGACUUCCUGCCGCAGCCGCUCCCCGCCUUCGUCGACCUCACGGCGACCGACUACGCGGACGCGGCGGCGUACCGCGCCGCCGCGGAGCCGGUCAUGAUACGGUUCGGCGGCGAGGCGUCCCCCGUGUCGUCGGACCCCGCCCGGAGGCCGUCGCUGACCAUCUCGCUGCCCCCGGCCUCGCACGGCUGGGCGGCGCCGGCGCCGGUGCCCGCGGCGGAGGCCGCCGCGGCCGCGGACGCCAACGACUUCCGCAAGUACCGCGGCGUGCGCCAGCGGCCGUGGGGCAAGUUCGCGGCGGAGAUCCGGGACCCCAACAAGCGCGGCUCGCGCGUGUGGCUCGGCACCUACGACACCUCCAUCGAGGCCGCGCGCGCGUACGACCGCGCCGCCUUCCGCAUGCGCGGCGCCAAGGCCAUCCUCAACUUCCCCAACGAGGUCGGCUCCCGCGGCGCCACGGACUUCGUCGCCCCGCCGCCGCCGCCGUCGCAAACCGCGCGCGCGGCGCCCACGUCGCAGAACAAGCGGAAGCGGCAAGAGGCGGCCGAGCCAUGCGUCGAGGUGGUCCGGGAUACCACGAAACACUGCAAGGCCGAUGCGUCCGCGUCGCCGGCGUCGUCGCUCACCUCAACGCCGACCUCGACGGUGACGUCCUGCACCACCACCCUGUCCUCGUCGGAUGCCGGCGGCAACUACGAGAUGUUCCCGCUGGCAUCACCGACUAGCUGGACGUGGGAUCAGCUGCUGGCCGAAGGGAUGUUCGGCAGCCUGUCGCCGCGCCAGCAGCUGGGUAGCUUCCCGGAGGUGACCGUGAACUGA
RNAcentral lists this ribosomal RNA (963 nucleotides) under Triticum aestivum (bread wheat). Its description in RNAcentral is "partial small subunit ribosomal RNA". The record is from RNAcentral. Lineage: Eukaryota; Viridiplantae; Streptophyta; Magnoliopsida; Poales; Poaceae.